UCUGUAAUGAGAUGUUUGCCUGUGA
This 25-nucleotide non-coding RNA is filed under the name Mus musculus (house mouse). The record is from RNAcentral. Lineage: Eukaryota; Metazoa; Chordata; Mammalia; Rodentia; Muridae.